RNAcentral lists this long non-coding RNA (649 nucleotides) under Lathyrus oleraceus (garden pea). RNAcentral's name for it is "Pisum sativum (pea) long non-coding RNA (PSAT_LNC016730)". The record is from RNAcentral. Lineage: Eukaryota; Viridiplantae; Streptophyta; Magnoliopsida; Fabales; Fabaceae.
GGUUUGAAGUUUGCGAACGGCCAUUGGAUUAAGGUGACCGGCCAGCGCAUGUAUCCUCUCAAAUUUCCGAUUUUGGUAGUUGAUUAUUUGAGUUAAAGUUGUGAGAGUUGUUAGAAGUUGGCUUAGGUUAAGUGUUAGCUAGAAGCCUCUUGAAAGGUUUUGAAAUUAGGUAAUUAAUUAGGAUUGAUUUGUUAAUUAAAAGGAUGAAGCUAUGCGAUGAGUAAUUGUUAACGCACUGUAAUGUAUGCCUUGCUUGUUUGGUGAGUGAAUUAUUUUUCACAAUGUAUUUUGGUAAGCCAUGGCUAUGAAUGCAAAUGCCUGAAAUGAUGAGUUUGUUGCACAUGCUAUGAAGUAUUAGAGCUGAUUUUGGCAAUGGUUUUUACAGGUAGUUCAUGGAAGGGAAACUAACUUGGUCUUUGAAUGACAAUGGAUGUCGUGGAAAUUAUUUUAGCAUGUUAGGACUUACUUGGAUUUAGUCUCCCUAUAAUUUUUGUGACUCUUGAGAUGGAUUGACAUUGUUUUAAAUGUAUGGUUUACGUAUUGGCAUAAAGUGUUGUAAUGCAAUUUUCGGUUCAAAUGCAAAUGUAUUUGGAAUUAGAAUGGAGUUAGAGUUGUAAUAGCGAAAUGGUGUUUGGAAUUUUAAUGUUAG